AGGUAGUAAUAUUUUUUAUUCAAACCUAUUUAUACACGGCGGCAUUUCAUCUUAUUAGAGGAAUCUGUGAUAUAAUAGAUAAUCCACAAUAACUUUCACUUUAAAUAAAAACUUAUAUACCGCCAUCUAAAGAAUUAAAUUUAAAAAUUUACUCACAAUAACUAUUAAAAAGUUAGGUCAAGGUAUAGUCAAUAUUAAAGAACUAAUGGAUUACAUUAAAAAAAUUUAUGGAUUAAAUAAAACAAUUCUUUUAUAAAAUAGGAUUUAAAAGUAAUAUUAUAAUAAUAUUAUUAUAUUAAUAAGAUAAUAAAUGUGU
This 316-nucleotide ribosomal RNA is filed under the name Strophius cf. albofasciatus MR189. Its description in RNAcentral is "partial 12S ribosomal RNA". The record is from RNAcentral. Lineage: Eukaryota; Metazoa; Arthropoda; Arachnida; Araneae; Thomisidae.